RNAcentral lists this RNase P RNA (244 nucleotides) under Mesotoga infera. Its description in RNAcentral is "RNaseP_bact_a". It matches the Rfam family "Bacterial RNase P class A", at positions 82 to 351 of the family's 367-position model. From Rfam's summary of the family: Ribonuclease P (RNase P) is a ubiquitous endoribonuclease, found in archaea, bacteria and eukarya as well as chloroplasts and mitochondria. Its best characterised activity is the generation of mature 5'-ends of tRNAs by cleaving the 5'-leader elements of precursor-tRNAs. Cellular RNase Ps are ribonucleoproteins. The record is from RNAcentral. Lineage: Bacteria; Thermotogati; Thermotogota; Thermotogae; Kosmotogales; Kosmotogaceae.
CACCCAGGGAGAGUGAUCUCCGGAAAGGGCCAUAGAAAAUUAGACCGCCUUCGGGCAAGGAUGGAAAGGUGAGGUAAGAGCUCACCGGCUGUCGGGUGACCGGCAGGCUAGGUAACCCCCGUCUGGAGCAAGUCCAAGCAGAAAGGGUCUGAGGAUGCCCACCGAUUCCCUUUCGGGUAGGAUGCUUGAGGGUUAUGGUAACAUAACUCCGAGAUAGAUGGUCACGAGAACAGGAUCCGGCUUA